GAUAAUUCCAGCUUGUGUCCACACAAAACCAGCCAGUUCAGAGAUAUUAUGAACAAUUGGGUUUCUGAAAUUGAAGUUUAAAAUUUAGAUAUUAUCAGCGUAUAGAUGAUAUUUAAAGCCAUAACACUGGGUUAUAUCAGUGGAAUAAACUGAGACAGAAACAGUCAUUCCUGAAGUGUCUUGCCUUAAGCAUUCAAGAAAUUGAAGAAUCUAGGAUGGGAAAUGUAGCUCAGUUGGUAAAGUGUGUGCCUACUCUGCCUGAUGUUCUGAGUUCACCCUUCAGUAUUGCAUACACUAGGCAUUCACCUGUGUGGUAUUAUAUUACAAUGAUAUUAUAUAUUAUUAUUAUUCUAGGAUUAGAAGUUUAUGGUUGAGUAAUUUCCAGGCAAUACUGAGCUGUAUGAACUAUUGUCUCAAAAAUAAACAAAAAACAAACAAACAAAAAGAACAACAAACCAACCAAACAAAGACAACUUUUUUGAAAGAAGCAAGGUAGAUCUCUGAGUUCUAGACCAGCUGGGACUAUACAGUGAGACCCCAUCUGAGAGAAAGAGAGAAACAGAAAGACAGGGUGGUGGGGGUUGGGUGGGGGUGGAGACUGAAGAUUUCAAUAUAGUUAACUGCAAAACAUUUUAUGAAAUAGAAAAAAAGAGAACAUAAUAAUUCAUAAGCCGUGCUAAAUACAAAACAUAAGGAGAUUAGUUGUGCCUUGUUGCUAAGAGAGAUUUUGACUGCCACAUGUGUUAAUAUGGAGGCUGUUGAUGGCCUCUGUUGAACAACCUGUGAGUGAGAAUAGGCGAGAAAGCUUUGUAAGGAGAGGAAACACCAAGAUUUUGAUAAAACACUAACUUUUGAUAAACAGUAAAGGGGUGGUCUUUUGUUGUUUUUUUAUUAAGAGAUAAAUAUUUUGUGACUUGGUAGGAAUAAUCUAGUAGACAUGGAAAAACGAUAAUUUAACCCAGAGAAUAAAAUGAGAAACAUAUUUCAAGUAGACUUAAAAUGAGUUUAUAGAGAAGCAGAAGAGUUGGACUUGUGUAAGAGACAUGGGAGCACAGUUCGUUUACCUCAGUGAAAGGAAAACUAUAUAAAAAGAAAUUAAAUAAGACUAU
RNAcentral lists this long non-coding RNA (1109 nucleotides) under Mus musculus (house mouse). RNAcentral's name for it is "long non-coding RNA chr5:108230073-108231182". Lineage: Eukaryota; Metazoa; Chordata; Mammalia; Rodentia; Muridae. The record is from RNAcentral.